CUACGGGACGCUCCAGUGGGGAAUAUUGCACAAUGGAGGAAACUCUGAUGCAGCAACGCCGCGUGGAGGAUGACACUUUUCGGAGCGUAAACUCCUUUUAUAUAGGAAGAAGAUGACGGUACUAUAUGAAUAAGCGCCGGCUAACUCCGUGCCAGCAGCCGCGGUAAUACGGAGGGCGCAAGCGUUACUCGGAAUCACUGGGCGUAAAGAGCGUGUAGGCGGAUUAAAAAGUCAGAAGUGAAAUCCUAUAGCUUAACUAUAGAACUGCUUCUGAAACUCUUAAUCUAGAAUAUAGGAGAGGUAGAUGGAAUUUCUGGUGUAGGGGUAAAAUCCGUAGAGAUCAGAAGGAAUACCGAUUGCGAAGGCGAUCUACUAGAACAUUAUUGACGCUGAGACGCGAAAGCGUGGGGAGCAAACAGGAUUAGAUACCCUGGUAGUC
Molecule: ribosomal RNA, 439 nt
Filed under: uncultured bacterium
Lineage: Bacteria
Description: partial 16S ribosomal RNA
Rfam family: Bacterial small subunit ribosomal RNA
Source: RNAcentral